Molecule: ribosomal RNA, 253 nt
Filed under: uncultured bacterium
Lineage: Bacteria
Description: partial 16S ribosomal RNA
Rfam family: Bacterial small subunit ribosomal RNA
Source: RNAcentral
UACGUAGGGUGCGAGCGUUAAUCGGAAUUACUGGGCGUAAAGCGUGCGCAGGCGGUUUUGUAAGCCAGAUGUGAAAUCCCCGGGCUUAACCUGGGAAUGGCAUUUGGGACUGCAAGGCUGGAGUGCGGCAGAGGAGACUGGAAUUCCUGGUGUAGCAGUGAAAUGCGUAGAUAUCAGGAGGAAUACCGAUGGCGAAGGCAGGUCUCUGGGCUGACACUGACGCUCAUGCACGAAAGCGUAGGGAGCAAACAGG